Molecule: RNase P RNA, 433 nt
Filed under: Novosphingobium sp.
Lineage: Bacteria; Pseudomonadati; Pseudomonadota; Alphaproteobacteria; Sphingomonadales; Sphingomonadaceae
Description: RNase P RNA component class A
Rfam family: Bacterial RNase P class A
About the family: Ribonuclease P (RNase P) is a ubiquitous endoribonuclease, found in archaea, bacteria and eukarya as well as chloroplasts and mitochondria.
Source: RNAcentral
CCGGGGGGCCGGGCAGCCGCGUCAUCGCAAGAUGCCGAGGAAAGUCCGGGCUCCACGAAACAAGGGUGGCGGGUAACGCCCGCCGGACGAGUGGCUUGCUGCGAAGUCCAGGGAAAGUGCCACAGAGAGCAGACCGCCCCCCAAGCUGUCAAAGGCUUGCGGGGUAAGGGUGAAAGGGUGCGGCAAGAGCGCACCGGGCCGCUGGUAACAGGGGUCGCAUGGCAAACCCCACCCGGAGCAAGACCGAAUAGGGGCGGCGCGUCCUUCGGGACAGGUCUGUUUCGGACCCGACCGCCCGGGUUGGUUGCUUGAGCCGCGCAGCAAUGCCCGGCCUAGAGGAAUGGCUGCCCCCGCCGAUACGGUGCCCGACCAAGGGAAACCUUUGGGCAUACCGUCGGCGGGACAGAACCCGGCUUACAGGCCCCCCGGCGAA